Molecule: long non-coding RNA, 538 nt
Filed under: Manihot esculenta (cassava)
Lineage: Eukaryota; Viridiplantae; Streptophyta; Magnoliopsida; Malpighiales; Euphorbiaceae
Description: long non-coding RNA (MESC_LNC008205)
Source: RNAcentral
GGCUCGCUUUGACUAGCCUGAAGAAGCUGACGAACAGCUGAACCGUGGGUGUAAACCCCUAGCUCAGACACACAGAUUCAAAGCAAGACAUGAAAAGAACGGAGUUAGGGGUUAGCAUUCGAGGGGUAAUCUCGAAAUACUGGAAGACCUCUUUGAAGAAAGGAGAAAAGGGGAAGGACAGACCGUACUCCCUCUGUUUGAUGAAGAAGACUAGACUGACAUCCCUUUGAGGGUCGAUUAGGCCAGGGGGAGAAGGAUCAGGAAGAACGAUCCUCUCAUUUCGGUAAGGAGCCCAGAUGUGAUAAAGAGGGGUAUCCAGGUAUUCCCUAGAAAUGAAAUUCCUAAUGUUAGACGGGGUGAUGCUAGACUCCUGGUUGACGACAUCGGGGAGACUAGAACUAUCCAUGGUAAAAGAAGAGGCGUACCUGAAAAGUGAUUAGGGCAAAUGAGCAGAGGAAAGCAAAGAGAGCAGUAGAACAGAGAAGAGCCAACGUUCUGGGGAGACUGACGGGAAGUGAAAUUUGAAACAAUAAAGAGC